This 72-nucleotide transfer RNA is filed under the name Bos taurus (domestic cattle). It matches the Rfam family "tRNA". From Rfam's summary of the family: Transfer RNA (tRNA) molecules are approximately 80 nucleotides in length. Their secondary structure includes four short double-helical elements and three loops (D, anti-codon, and T loops). Lineage: Eukaryota; Metazoa; Chordata; Mammalia; Artiodactyla; Bovidae. The record is from Rfam by way of RNAcentral. RNAcentral also lists the same sequence under 4 other names.
UCCCUGGUGGCUCAGAUGGUAAAGCGUCUGCCUGCAAUGCGGGAGACCUGGGUUCGAUUCCUGGGUCGGGAA